AGAGUUUGAUCAUGGCUCAGAUUGAACGCUGGCGGAAUGCUUUACACAUGCAAGUCGAACGGCAGCACGGACUUCGGUCUGGUGGCGAGUGGCGAACGGGUGAGUAACAUAUCGGAACGUAUCCAAUAAUGGGGGAUAACUAAUCGAAAGGUUGGCUAAUACCGCAUACGCCCUACGGGGGAAAGCAGGGGAUCUUCGGACCUUGCGUUAAUGGAGCGGCCGAUAUCUGAUUAGCUAGUUGGUGGGGUAAAGGCCCACCAAGGCGACGAUCAGUAGCUGGUCUGAGAGGACGACCAGCCACACUGGAACUGAGACACGGUCCAGACUCCUACGGGAGGCAGCAGUGGGGAAUUUUGGACAAUGGGCGCAAGCCUGAUCCAGCCAUUCCGCGUGAGUGAAGAAGGCCUUCGGGUUGUAAAGCUCUUUCGCAAGGGAAGAAACGUUACCGGUGAAUAUCCGGUGAUAAUGACGGUACCUUGAUAAGAAGCACCGGCUAACUACGUGCCAGCAGCCGCGGUAAUACGUAGGGUGCGAGCGUUAAUCGGAAUUACUGGGCGUAAAGCGUGCGCAGGCGGUUAUGCAAGACAGAUGUGAAAUCCCCGGGCUCAACCUGGGAACUGCAUUUGUGACUGCAUAGCUAGAGUACGGUAGAGGGGGAUGGAAUUCCGCGUGUAGCAGUGAAAUGCGUAGAUAUGCGGAGGAACACCGAUGGCGAAGGCAAUCCCCUGGACCUGUACUGACGCUCAUGCACGAAAGCGUGGGGAGCAAACAGGAUUAGAUACCCUGGUAGUCCACGCCCUAAACGAUGUCAACUGGUUGUUGGACGGCUUGCUGUUCAGUAACGAAGCUAGCGCGUGAAGUUGACCGCCUGGGGAGUACGGCCGCAAGGUUGAAACUCAAAGGAAUUGACGGGGACCCGCACAAGCGGUGGAUGAUGUGGUUUAAUUCGAUGCAACGCGAAAAACCUUACCUACCCUUGACAUGUCUGGAAUCCUGGAGAGAUCUGGGAGUGCUCGAAAGAGAACCAGAACACAGGUGCUGCAUGGCCGUCGUCAGCUCGUGUCGUGAGAUGUUGGGUUAAGUCCCGCAACGAGCGCAACCCUUGUCAUUAGUUGCUACGAAAGGGCACUCUAAUGAGACUGCCGGUGACAAACCGGAGGAAGGUGGGGAUGACGUCAGGUCCUCAUGGCCCUUAUGGGUAGGGCUACACACGUCAUACAAUGGCCGGUACAGAGGGUUGCCAACCCGCGAGGGGGAGCCAAUCCCAGAAAACCGGUCGUAGUCCGGAUCGCAGUCUGCAACUCGACUGCGUGAAGUCGGAAUCGCUAGUAAUCGCGGAUCAGCUUGCCGCGGUGAAUACGUUCCCGGGUCUUGUACACACCGCCCGUCACACCAUGGGAGCGGGUUCUGCCAGAAGUAGUUAGCCUAACCGCAAGGAGGGCGAUUACCACGGCAGGGUUCGUGACUGGGGUGAAGUCGUAACAAGGUAGCCGUAUCGGAAGGUGCGGAUGGAUCACCUCCUU
This 1523-nucleotide ribosomal RNA is filed under the name uncultured bacterium. RNAcentral's name for it is "16S ribosomal RNA". It matches the Rfam family "Bacterial small subunit ribosomal RNA". The record is from RNAcentral.